This 424-nucleotide ribosomal RNA is filed under the name uncultured prokaryote. Its description in RNAcentral is "bacterial SSU rRNA". It matches the Rfam family "Bacterial small subunit ribosomal RNA", at positions 355 to 796 of the family's 1533-position model. The record is from RNAcentral.
UGGGGAAUUUUCCGCAAUGGGCGAAAGCCUGACGGAGCAACGCCGCGUGAGGGAGGAAGGCUCUUGGGUUGUAAACCUCUUUUCUCAAGGAAGAUAAUGACGGUACUUGAGGAAUCAGCAUCGGCUAACUCCGUGCCAGCAGCCGCGGUAAUACGGAGGAUGCAAGCGUUAUCCGGAAUAAUUGGGCGUAAAGCGUUCGUAGGUGGUUUUGUAAGUCUGCUGUUAAAGCGUGUAGCUCAACUACAUAUAGGCAGUGGAAACUACAAGACUUGAGUGCGUUCGGGGUAGAGGGAAUUCCUGGUGUAGCGGUGAAAUGCGUAGAGAUCAGGAAGAACACCGGUGGCGAAGGCGCUCUACUAGACCGCAACUGACACUGAGGGACGAAAGCUAGGGGAGCGAAUGGGAUUAGAUACCCCCGUAGUCC